AAAGUGCUGGGAUUACAGGCUUGAGCCACCGCGCCCGGCCCGGUUUUUACUUUUUUAGCAGGUACGAGAAUACAGGGACAAAGUUUCUCCAUAUCAAAAGGCAAAACGCAGGUCCCAGACUCAUGAGUUUCUGAAAACUUAAAUUUUAGAUCUCUUGAUGUGGUUCAGCACUUGGAGCAAAAUGUCCCAGAAAACUUCUUGAGUGCUUUCCAGGGAGGUCUUGUUAGCAAAUCAAGGUCUUCUUGAGUCCCAUGUUUACAAAGGACCCUGCUCACAGAAUGAUCUCAUCUGUUUUAUCUUCAGUAGUACCUUUGCUUUGCUGCAUGGCCCCAGAUCAUACCAACAAGCCAUCAACAUAACAGAGAGUAAAAUAAUCUUAAAGAGUUCAGAGUUUGGGGUUAUUUCCUGGCACAAACAAGCUGAUCAUUGGAGCUCUGCAGAAAAGGACAAAUGGAAACUGUUAAUUGCUCACUAUGAUUAUGACUUACCAUGCUAUUUAUCUCAUUUCGUCCCUCCUUGAGGGAAGAAUAUAUUCCAGCUAUAAAAGAUAAACAGACACCAUCCAUUCUUAUGUUCUCUUUUGUUCAGAUUUAUUCUAAAUAAAAAGACAGUUAUUGGCCUAGAGGUGAGCUUGUCAACCUACAAAACAUGCAAGCCUGAUGUGUUGAUGGAAUAAAAUGAUGUAAAUUGACUCAAAAGUGCAGAUUGAGUAUUGAAUUGGUCAGUAGAAUAUGAGGUUCAUCAUAAAAACCUGAGACCCAUUCCAGUCAGUGUGAACUCUGUCUUAUAUUGGUGGUGGGGUUUUGAAGGAGUGAUUACUUUGUAGAUAGUUAUGAGUUUUAUCCUUUAGAACAUAGUUUUAGAAUUUAGUGAUAAUGAAGAGCAUUGUUUCUUAAAUCUGAUGUUCUUUAGAAUCAACCUGAAAUCAUGUUUAAAGAAAGACUUUUAUUCAGUAGAUCUGGGGUUGAUUCUAAGAAUCUGCAUUUCUAGCAAGCAACCAGGAGAUAAUUAUGCUGUUGUUGCAGAGACACACUUUGAGUAACAAGGAUAUAGACAAUAUAUUGUAAAGAGUGAUUCUGGGUAAAGGAGAUAAUUUAGAGAGUGCUUACAGUUGCCCAGAAGAGAAUGCCUGGUAUAAACUAAGGCAAUGGGAAGACA
RNAcentral lists this long non-coding RNA (1158 nucleotides) under Macaca mulatta (Rhesus monkey). Its description in RNAcentral is "lncRNA (ENSMMUG00000052482.1)". The record is from RNAcentral. Lineage: Eukaryota; Metazoa; Chordata; Mammalia; Primates; Cercopithecidae.